This is an unclassified non-coding RNA of Orbicella faveolata, 886 nucleotides long. The record is from RefSeq and is a predicted model, not a curated record. Lineage: Eukaryota; Metazoa; Cnidaria; Anthozoa; Scleractinia; Merulinidae.
AAAAGUAUAAUAUUUUUGUUUGGAAACAAGCGGUUCUUUCUGAUCAGCGCUUCGCUCCUUUGGAGGCCGAAUACCAAUUUGACCGGAAGCCCGGAAUUUUCGAAAAAAUUCCAGAUCUAAAUUUACAUAUACCGGUAACUAGCGGUAAUCAAAGAUUAGUGGAGUGCGCUCGACGUCUUUAGUUGGUUUCACUUUGGUUAAUUUCGUUUACCGAUAUUCAACCCAUCUUUCUCAAUCGACAUUCAUGCACGUAUCCCCUGCGGAGUGUGUUGCGUGACACAACGCGAUGCUCACGCAAUGUGCUAUUAGUACAGUACCAGGAGGAGAGCGUGAGGUUUUGUAAAACCAGAAAAAUAAACGACUUUGUGACAGUCUAACCCAAGUUUUUACGUACGUAGUCUCAGGAGUAGUGUAAACAGGCUCAUUCUCCACAAGAAACCAAUUCAUUUUAAAAUUAAUUCCAAUUUUUAAAGUUUAUACCUUUAUUAAUGAUUGAGAAAGUCAUAUUACUGUGAUUAGCUGAGAGCCGACCAAUUUAUAUUUUUUAAAAGAUAAAUAAACAUAAAUUUGCACUGCAGUUGAAAAUAUUAACAUGCGUGAAUAUGUAAUUUUCUCAGUCAUGCACAACCAUUUUACCAUUCAAGUUUUCUCUCACUGUGACGGACCAAGGAGAAAGAGGGACUGCUCUUGAUAUGCACUAACAUUGAUGAAAUUUGGACCAGUGUUGCCAAAGCAGUGGUGAGUGGCACCCUGGGAAGUGCUGCCAAUGUGUUUACGAGUGACAACCAAUUGAUGGAGUAUACUAUUCUCAUCUACAAUGAAGAUUUCACAAAGAAAGAGCAAGUGUGGGCUGUCGAGAGAAGUCUCAGGACUUUGGGAGUGACAU